CUAGAACUUGAAUGGGAAGAAGAGGGGGCUUUUGUCCGACUUGAUCCCUGGCUAUUUUGGAGCUCAGGUGUUUCGGUGAGUGUGUGAAGAUGAUUCAAGUGAAGUGUGACUGGUUCUGCGAGCGAAGAGGGGAUCAGCAAUAAACGGUGAUGACAAGCAAUCCAUAUUCAGAGAAUGAAGGUUGUUCUAGAAUGAAACAGGAAACCAAUGAAUAGCUGAAAUACUGGCACAAAAAUUAGUUUUGCCUAAUGGAAAACAAUUAACAGCACUUGAAUAAAUGCAAGAGGACAGAAGAUGUAAGCCCCAUGAUUGUUUCUUACUGGUAUUGCCCACCUUUCUGCCUCAGACAGUCACAACGGUGUUGAAGGAAUCCCUCCAUGAUUUGGCCUCCCAUCAAGUCAUUAGGCAUUUGUUUUAUUUACUUAACAAUCUUACAAUGGUAGGAAGAGGGCCACAGUUUAAAUGGAGGGAUCUUUGUGCAUAUUUGAAACUGAGAUUAAUAAAGUAACUUUGGUUUUAAAUUAAUCAAUAUAAAUAAUUAAAUAACAAGUAUUAACUACUGUGAGGUGGGGUCAAAAUCAGGCAGGAAUAAUGCAAAUAUGCAGCUCUGUUAUAAAAAAACAAAACAAAAUUAGGUACAAUGAAUAAAUAAUAUUACAGGACAUAGCAUUGGCAUAUUCUGAAAACAAAAACUUCAUCUCUGAAAUGCUGCAUUGAAACAAAAGAAGACCAGGUCCAAAUCCACAGUAUUAGUCAAAUAAAUAAGAGGUGAGUACGCAAGUCAGAGUUGUGAAAUAAAUAUAGUAAAACACAAUAUAAAAGUUUUUACAAUACAGAUAUUGUCCACUGAAAGAUGUUAAUAAGUAAAACACCACAAAAACAUACCAUUCUUAGUUAGUAACAAUUACUUGUUAUAACUAUAUACUGUAUGACAGGUGCUUGCUCCAGAUGUUCAUAACCUAUGAAUUAUAAAAGGCCACUACAGUAAAACAUAUAAUAUUUCAUUAAGUAUAUAGUGUAGCAGGAUAAGUUGCACAGCUGGAGAGAAAAGAAGGAAAUGAGAGGGAGUACUUCCAAGUAAGUAUUUAGUUUUGUUUUAUUGCCAUAUGUAACCAUUAAUUACAAAUUUUCACUUCCAGAAGUUAACUAAUCUUUCCGUUAUGGCCACAGCAAUGCAUUGGUUUUUGCCUUUUCAUUUCUGGUUAUUGACAAGAGUAGGAAGUUGAUUGGCAAAGCUGUGGAGAUUCACAAAAGACAGCGGAUAAAUUAAAAAGCACAUGGAGUUUAAAGCCUGUAUUUGCUAUAGUGCUGUACAGAUUAGCAGAUUUUAUGCAAAUCCUAUUUUAUCUGUCUACUGUAUCUAUCUAUUGUUACAUGUUUUUAUUGGACAGCAUGAUGGUGUGGUGUUUACUCUGCCACUUUAGUGCCCCAAGGACUCAUGUUUGUUUCAAGGUCCAAACACUGUUUGUGAAGAGUAACAUUUGGUAAACAUAUCUUCACGCUGUAUGUGCGAGUUUCCUUCUCAGAUACAUGCAUGUAGAUUAACUGUUAAGUCUAAAUUAACAGAACUUGAAUAAGUGUAUUAGUAGUUUGUGCAGUGUGUCACAUUUGUUCUUACACUCGACAAGUUUUUCCUGAGAAGGAAUUUAGCUUUUUUUACCCUGUAGUGGACAAACAGGGAAAAAAUCUAUUUCUCUAGCAUAAAAAUGCGUUCAUAAAAUAAUUUUUAGAAAUGGUUACUGUUUAAUUAUUUAUUCUUCAACCAGCUCUGCAAUGGUAAGAUGAUAACUCUAAAAUGUAUUUCUCAAUAAUUUCUCUGAUAACUCAGUCUCUGGCAUCUUAAUCUAACUAUAUUGCUAGUCAAUAUAUAACAAUUUCUUCAUUUAAUCAUUAAAUACAGCCCCAUGCCCAUAACAAUUGUAGGCCUGGUAUAGCCCCGGGCUUUUAAACCAAUAGUUGUCAUGUUUGCCACUUAAUGAAGGAGCAAAUCAAGUCACUUUAGCAGGCUGGUCAAUUUGGGUAGAUGGGUUCUGUAUUGUGCCCAUGGACUUACUGGUAUUUCCUCGCUAUGCACAUAUGCCUAGCUAGAUAAAAUUGGCAUGCCAAUCCAUUUUCAAUUGGAGAAUCGAGAGCAAGUCUUUCCUGGAAGGUGGCACUAGUUAUGAUAUUACUCUUUAUCACAGAAGUGACUAUUUUGUAGUUUAAAAGUUUCUGUUGGGAUGUACAGAAAAUAAUUCUUUACUAGCAUGGUAGGUAGGGUAAGUCUUUGGAGCCAGUUGAGCUGUUGACUGUUUUGGGAAGACAGCGAUUUUCUGUACAUUUAAGGUAGGUGUUAUUUUUAGUUUUCUUUUCAUAAACCAGUUUGUAUCCUCUGUUUUCCUUCUAGUGUUCUCUUUUUAAUUUGCAUUUUAUUGUUUCUUUUUAAAUAAAUUCAUCCCAUUCUAAAA
Erpetoichthys calabaricus (reedfish) is the source of this 2447-nucleotide long non-coding RNA. RefSeq lists it as uncharacterized. The transcript is spliced from 3 exons. Lineage: Eukaryota; Metazoa; Chordata; Cladistia; Polypteriformes; Polypteridae. The record is from RefSeq and is a predicted model, not a curated record.